GAUGAACGCUGGCGGCGUGCCUAAUACAUGCAAGUCGAGCGAACAGAUGAGGCGCUUGCUCCUCUGACGUUAGCGGCGGACGGGUGAGUAACACGUGGAUAACCUACCUAUAAGACUGGGAUAACUUCGUGAAACCGUAGCUAAUACCGGAUACUAUAUUGAACCGCAUGGUUCAAUAGUGUAAGACGGUUUUGCUGUCACUUAUAGAUGGAUCCGCUCCGCAUUAGCUAGUUGGUAAGGUAACGGCUUACCAAGGCAACGAUGCGUAGCCGACCUGAGAGGGUGAUCGGCCACACUGGAACUGAGACACGGUCCAGACUCCUACGGGAGGCAGCAGUAGGGAAUCUUCCGCAAUGGGCGAAAGCCUGACGGAGCAACGCCGCGUGAGUGAUGAAGGUCUUCGGAUCGUAAAACUCUGUUAUUAGGGAAGAACAAAUGUGUAAGUAAAUAUGCACGUCUUGACGGUACCUAAUCAGAAAGCCACGGCUAACUACGUG
This 497-nucleotide ribosomal RNA is filed under the name uncultured bacterium. RNAcentral's name for it is "partial 16S ribosomal RNA". It matches the Rfam family "Bacterial small subunit ribosomal RNA", at positions 28 to 507 of the family's 1533-position model. The record is from RNAcentral.